Molecule: ribosomal RNA, 1346 nt
Filed under: uncultured bacterium
Lineage: Bacteria
Description: bacterial SSU rRNA
Rfam family: Bacterial small subunit ribosomal RNA
Source: RNAcentral
GACGAACGCUGGCGGCGUGCUUAACACAUGCAAGUCGAACGGAAAGGCCCUGCUUUUGUGGGGUGCUCGAGUGGCGAACGGGUGAGUAACACGUGAGUAACCUGCCCUUGACUUUGGGAUAACUUCAGGAAACUGGGGCUAAUACCGGAUAGGAGCUCCUGCUGCAUGGUGGGGGUUGGAAAGUUUCGGCGGUUGGGGAUGGACUCGCGGCUUAUCAGCUUGUUGGUGGGGUAGUGGCUUACCAAGGCUUUGACGAGUAGCCGGCCUGAGAGGGUGACCGGCCACAUUGGGACUGAGGUACGGCCCAGACUCCUACGGGAGGCAGCAGUGGGGAAUAUUGCACAAUGGGCGGAAGCCUGAUGCAGCAACGCCGCGUGCGGGAUGACGGCCUUCGGGUUGUAAACCGCUUUCGCCUGUGACGAAGCGUGAGUGACGGUAAUGGGUAAAGAAGCACCGGCUAACUACGUGCCAGCAGCCGCGGUGAUACGUAGGGUGCGAGCGUUGUCCGGAUUUAUUGGGCGUAAAGGGCUCGUAGGUGGUUGAUCGCGUCGGAAGUGUAAUCUUGGGGCUUAACCCUGAGCGUGCUUUCGAUACGGGUUGACUUGAGGAAGGUAGGGGAGAAUGGAAUUCCUGGUGGAGCGGUGGAAUGCGCAGAUAUCAGGAGGAACACCAGUGGCGAAGGCGGUUCUCUGGGCCUUUCCUGACGCUGAGGAGCGAAAGCGUGGGGAGCGAACAGGCUUAGAUACCCUGGUAGUCCACGCUGUAAACGGUGGGUACUAGGUGUGGGGUCCAUUCCACGGGUUCCGUGCCGUAGCUAACGCUUUAAGUACCCCGCCUGGGGAGUACGGCCGCAAGGCUAAAACUCAAAGGAAUUGACGGGGCCCCGCACAAGCGGCGGAGCAUGCGGAUUAAUUCGAUGCAACGCGUAGAACCUUACCUGGGUUUGACAUGGAUCGGGAGUGCCCAGAGAUGGGUGUGCCUCUUUUGGGGUCGGUUCACAGGUGGUGCAUGGCUGUCGUCAGCUCGUGUCGUGAGAUGUUGGGUUAAGUCCCGCAACGAGCGCAACCCUUGUUCACUGUUGCCAGCACGUUAUGGUGGGGACUCAGUGGAGACCGCCGGGGUCAACUCGGAGGAAGGUGGGGAUGACGUCAAGUCAUCAUGCCCCUUAUGUCCAGGGCUUCACGCAUGCUACAAUGGCUGGUACAGAGAGUGGCGAGCCUGUGAGGGUGAGCGAAUCUCGGAAAGCCGGUCUCAGUUCGGAUUGGGGUCUGCAACUCGACCUCAUGAAGUCGGAGUCGCUAGUAAUCGCAGAUCAGCAACGCUGCGGUGAAUACGUUCCCGGGGCU